Molecule: ribosomal RNA, 257 nt
Filed under: uncultured bacterium
Lineage: Bacteria
Description: partial 16S ribosomal RNA
Rfam family: Bacterial small subunit ribosomal RNA
Source: RNAcentral
UACGUAGGCAGCAAGCGUUGUUCGGAGUUACUGGGCGUAAAGGGUGCGUAGGCGGCUUUUUAAGUUUGGUGUGAAAUCUCCCGGCUCAACUGGGAGGGUGCGCCGAAUACUGAGAGGCUAGAGUGUGGGAGAGGAAAGUGGAAUUCCUGGUGUAGCGGUGAAAUGCGUAGAUAUCAGGAGGAACACCGGUGGUGUAAACGGCUUUCUGGACCAUAACUGACGCUGGAGGCACGAAAAGCCGUGGGUAGCAAACAGGG